GUGUAGCUGAGGCUCGAGUACUGUAGGAGCAAGGGUCUCCGUUUUCUUGGUUCCUCCCUCUCCAGCUUAGAGUGGAAGGAGCCACCAUGUCACGUGGUGUGGCAUAUGCAUGUGACGAAGAACCGGCAGUAGCCGGGCCUUGAAGAAACAGCAGCUGCUGCGGAACGGUUGGUAACCUUGACGAUGAGUGCUUAGAGGAUUGGAACUAUCCGAUUUUUCCGUCAGAUACCUUAGUUUUGGGUGCUAUCCUGUGAUGGGGAAAGGUUCCUUCUCUCGAUGCUUCUGGAACAUGUCCAGUGGAUUGUGUCCUGCCAGGCGGGCUGGGGAGACAUGAAGACAAUUGGCUGCAGAGUUCUGUGUGGUCUGCUCCCUGCUUGUCCUCAUCUUCCUUUUGGUAGUCAGAGCCCAUGUGUUCUGUCAUGCUCUGUUGCUUUUACCAGGCUGUGCCUCACUUGAUCCAUUCCCCAGACACCCUUAUCUCAUCUUUCCUGACUUUGCACUCCUGGGUUUACUUAUCUCAGCCCUCAUCCCCUGCUUUGAGACAAGUCUCAGGUUUGCCACCUUCCUCUUUCCCUACUUGACCCAUUUCAUCAAUAUCUAUGGUUGGAUAAAUCACCCUAAUUAAAGUGAUAAAGUGCAAUCACCCAUAUGCCGGUACCUAUCUUC
Molecule: long non-coding RNA, 666 nt
Organism: Manis pentadactyla (Chinese pangolin)
Lineage: Eukaryota; Metazoa; Chordata; Mammalia; Pholidota; Manidae
Exons: 2
Source: RefSeq, a predicted model, not a curated record